RNAcentral lists this ribosomal RNA (481 nucleotides) under uncultured bacterium. Its description in RNAcentral is "partial 16S ribosomal RNA". It matches the Rfam family "Bacterial small subunit ribosomal RNA", at positions 30 to 507 of the family's 1533-position model. The record is from RNAcentral.
AUUGAACGCUGGCGGCAUGCUUUACACAUGCAAGUCGAACGGUAACAGGCCGCAAGGUGCUGACGAGUGGCGAACGGGUGAGUAAUGCAUCGGACGUGCCCAGUCGUGGGGGAUAACUACUCGAAAGAGUAGCUAAUACCGCAUACGAUCUAUGGAUGAAAGCGGGGGACCGUAAGGCCUCGCGCGAUUGGAGCGGCCGAUGUCAGAUUAGGUAGUUGGUGGGGUAAAGGCUCACCAAGCCAACGAUCUGUAGCUGGUCUGAGAGGACGACCAGCCACACUGGGACUGAGACACGGCCCAGACUCCUACGGGAGGCAGCAGUGGGGAAUUUUGGACAAUGGGCGCAAGCCUGAUCCAGCAAUGCCGCGUGCAGGAAGAAGGCCUUCGGGUUGUAAACUGCUUUUGUACGGAACGAAACGGCUCUGGUUAAUACCCGGGGCUAAUGACGGUACCGUAAGAAUAAGCACCGGCUAACUACGUG